GACGAACGCUGGCGGCAUGCCUAACACAUGCAAGUCUAGGGGUAGCAAUACCACUGGCGCACGGGUGAGUAACACGUAGGUUAUCUGCCCCCAUCACAGACAUAACCCCGGGAAACCGGGGCUAAUAUCUGAUGAGGUCGCGAGAUCAAAGCUUCGGCGGAUGGGGAUGAGCCUGCGGCUGAUUAGCUAGUUGGUGAGGUAAUGGCUCACCAAGGCGACGAUCAGUAGCUGGUCUGAGAGGACGAACAGCCACACUGGAACUGAGACACGGUCCAGACUCCUACGGGAGGCAGCAGUGAGGAAUAUUGGUCAAUGGGAGCAAUCCUGAACCAGCAAUGCCGCGUGUGGGAUGACAGGGCUUCGCCUUGUAAACCACUGUCGGACGGGACGAAAGGAGGCCUCGGGCCUCUGGGGACGGUACCGUCAAAGGAAGGGUCGGCUAACUACGUGCCAGCAGCCGCGGUAAU
RNAcentral lists this ribosomal RNA (467 nucleotides) under uncultured bacterium. Its description in RNAcentral is "bacterial SSU rRNA". It matches the Rfam family "Bacterial small subunit ribosomal RNA", at positions 28 to 524 of the family's 1533-position model. The record is from RNAcentral.